UAAAAGUUUUGUAAAUAGACUAGUCCACGUAUGCCAACAGUAUGUAAUCAUCGAAUGUCGAUAGACUAUUGUAUACCAAAAGAAGAAGACGAAGAAGAAGAGAACCAAUUUGAUUUAGAUACAGGUUGAUGUUUAACUUGCUUUGGUUCAUCGAAGUUGUGGACAUAGUAAAAUCACAGAUUUAUAUUGACGUUACGCACGGUAUUGGUGCCACUUAGCGUUACACGACGUUCCUAAUAAAACAACGAUUUUGACGUUGUUCCACGGAAAGUUUCAAACGUUGACCUUAUAUUUUACUCAUGUGAAAAUGCCGCUUAAAGUACAGAGAAUUUCGAUGUUGCUUCUUUAUAUGGUUUUAUUUUUUUCAAGCGGGUGCAAAUGCAAAAUUCCAUUGAAUUAAAAUAAUUUUUUUAAUAUUUGAAAAGAAUUGUCUGCAACAGUAACACAAAAUAACAAUUUGAUGUCUUGUAAAAUGAUUUAAAUAUAUAAAAAAGAUGUGGUAUGAUUGCCAAUGAGACCACUUUUCACAAGAGACCAAAUUGUCACAAAAAUAAACAACUAUAGGUCACUGUACGGCCUUCAAAAAUGAGCAAAGUCCAUACCGCAUAGUCUGUUAUACAAGGCCCCGAAAUGACAAUGUAAAACAAUUCAGUCGAGAAAACUAACUGCCUCAUUCAUGUUACAAAAUGAACGAAAAAGUCUGUUUUGUAUAUUUUUUUACUUUUUUUUUUU
RNAcentral lists this long non-coding RNA (732 nucleotides) under Mytilus galloprovincialis (Mediterranean mussel). Lineage: Eukaryota; Metazoa; Mollusca; Bivalvia; Mytilida; Mytilidae. The record is from RNAcentral.